GAGAAAGUCAUAGUGGCUAUGGUAUUGGCUUGAAACCAGUCUUAGGGGGAUCGAAACCUUCCUUUCUUA
RNAcentral lists this transfer RNA (69 nucleotides) under Murina cyclotis (Round-eared tube-nosed bat). RNAcentral's name for it is "tRNA-Ser". The record is from RNAcentral. Lineage: Eukaryota; Metazoa; Chordata; Mammalia; Chiroptera; Vespertilionidae.